ACUGUCUUACCCAAAGAGAAAUGACUUAAAAGCUUAUCUUAACCCAAUGUAGUCUUAAAGGUGGACAAAUUUCAAAACAUUUAAAAAUCAUCAGUAAACCAGUUGUCAGAUCUUCGCUCAAGGCAUGCCCAUCUUUUAGCUUGGGCUGAAUGAAUCAGGAUGAUUAAAACACAGGUCUUCCUCAGCCCGCCUAGUAGGGAGGAACUGUUGUUCACCACUAUUUGUUGAAUUCUAGGCAUCCUCUAGUACAGCUCAAGAAUCAGGACUGAGCAAUUGUGAUUUCUCUCUGAGCCACUUCAGGUGUCCCAAACCUGCUCAUUCUGUGUGAAC
Molecule: long non-coding RNA, 330 nt
Filed under: Bos taurus (domestic cattle)
Lineage: Eukaryota; Metazoa; Chordata; Mammalia; Artiodactyla; Bovidae
Description: long non-coding RNA NONBTAT014295
Source: RNAcentral